Molecule: long non-coding RNA, 658 nt
Filed under: Hordeum vulgare
Lineage: Eukaryota; Viridiplantae; Streptophyta; Magnoliopsida; Poales; Poaceae
Description: long non-coding RNA (HVUL_LNC021452)
Source: RNAcentral
GGAGCCAUGGAUCAUGGAUGGGAGCUUGGAAGAAUAGUCAGGGCUUGACCGAGGAUGGGAGCCUGAACUCUGGAGACAGGACUAAUUAAAUAAGCAGCCUUCUUUGACCUGGUAAACGCCCAACGCCCUGCUGCUGCUGAAUAGUACUGCUCCUAUAGAUGAAUUACUCACAAAAUAGUAAAAUCUCGUGUUGAAAUUUAUGACCACAUGGCUAAUGGUGUUUUGUUUUUCUUGCUUGAUUUAUGUUUUAUUUUUCUUGCAAAUAUCUGGCUCCUGCCAUGAUGCUGACUGUUGCUGAUUAAGAAAGGGAGAAAAAUGGUGUGAAGCCAGAAAAGUGGUUUUCCGGCGGCAGAGGCACCAAGGGGAGCGUUGACUUGGAAUGUUUAAACGAAGGCAGAUCUUUGGCCGCAACUUUUACAAGACUGAUGACUUGUCAUCUUGUGAAUCUACUACUCAAGUUACAGAACUUCUUUUGUUUAGGCUAUUACUUCCAGAAUUCAACCUCCAACCUUGACCAGAUGGCGUCUCCUCUGGAAGAUAGGAUCUACAACGGGUACUUACCUGGUCACGGUGAAUUACCGGAAUUUUGAAAUGUCUCCUGGUCUGUUUGAUUUACAGUGCGUCAGUUCACGGUUGCGAUUAUCAAAGUCAUGUUAAU